Streptomyces ambofaciens ATCC 23877 is the source of this 293-nucleotide non-coding RNA. The record is from Rfam. Lineage: Bacteria; Bacillati; Actinomycetota; Actinomycetes; Kitasatosporales; Streptomycetaceae.
UCGUCGACGGCGGCCGGUGCGAUGAAGUGGACGUGCGUGUCGAUGCCGCCGGCGGUGAGGAUCUUGCCGUUGCCGGCGAUGACCUCCGUCUCGGGGCCGAUGACGAGGUCGGGGUGGACGCCGUCCAUGGUGUCCGGGUUGCCGGACUUGCCGAUGCCGGUGAUGCGGCCGUCGCGGAUGCCGACGUCGGCCUUGACGACACCCCAGUGGUCGAUGACCACGGCUCCGGUGAUCACCGUGUCGGGGGCGCCUUCGGCGCGGGUGGUGCGCGACUGGCCCAUGGACUCGCGCAG